GGCCCACGCGUUGUUGGAAAAUAUUGCGCAAAAAGGGUCUCCGUGGCCGUAGAGUAUGAUCCUGGCUCAGGACGAACGCUGGCGGCGUGCCUAAUACAUGCAAGUCGAGCGGACAGAAGGGAGCUUGCUCCCGGAUGUUAGCGGCGGACGGGUGAGUAACACGUGGGUAACCUGCCUGUAAGACUGGGAUAACUCCGGGAAACCGGAGCUAAUACCGGAUAGUUCCUUGAACCGCAUGGUUCAAGGAUGAAAGACGGUUUCGGCUGUCACUUACAGAUGGACCCGCGGCGCAUUAGCUAGUUGGUGAGGUAACGGCUCACCAAGGCGACGAUGCGUAGCCGACCUGAGAGGGUGAUCGGCCACACUGGGACUGAGACACGGCCCAGACUCCUACGGGAGGCAGCAGUAGGGAAUCUUCCGCAAUGGACGAAAGUCUGACGGAGCAACGCCGCGUGAGUGAUGAAGGUUUUCGGAUCGUAAAGCUCUGUUGUUAGGGAAGAACAAGUGCAAGAGUAACUGCUUGCACCUUGACGGUACCUAACCAGAAAGCCACGGCUAACUACGUGCCAGCAGCCGCGGUAAUACGUAGGUGGCAAGCGUUGUCCGGAAUUAUUGGGCGUAAAGGGCUCGCAGGCGGUUUCUUAAGUCUGAUGUGAAAGCCCCCGGCUCAACCGGGGAGGGUCAUUGGAAACUGGGAAACUUGAGUGCAGAAGAGGAGAGUGGAAUUCCACGUGUAGCGGUGAAAUGCGUAGAGAUGUGGAGGAACACCAGUGGCGAAGGCGACUCUCUGGUCUGUAACUGACGCUGAGGAGCGAAAGCGUGGGGAGCGAACAGGAUUAGAUACCCUGGUAGUCCACGCCGUAAACGAUGAGUGCUAAGUGUUAGGGGGUUUCCGCCCCUUAGUGCUGCAGCUAACGCAUUAAGCACU
RNAcentral lists this ribosomal RNA (928 nucleotides) under Bacillus amyloliquefaciens. RNAcentral describes it as "bacterial SSU rRNA". It matches the Rfam family "Bacterial small subunit ribosomal RNA", at positions 1 to 868 of the family's 1533-position model. Lineage: Bacteria; Bacillati; Bacillota; Bacilli; Caryophanales; Bacillaceae. RNAcentral also lists the same sequence under 1 other name. The record is from RNAcentral.